RNAcentral lists this ribosomal RNA (388 nucleotides) under uncultured bacterium. RNAcentral's name for it is "bacterial SSU rRNA". It matches the Rfam family "Bacterial small subunit ribosomal RNA", at positions 28 to 417 of the family's 1533-position model. The record is from RNAcentral.
GACGAACGCUGGCGGCGUGCUUAACACAUGCAAGUCGAGCGGUAAGGCCCUUUCGGGGGUACACGAGCGGCGAACGGGUGAGUAACACGUGGGUGACCUGCCCUCAGCUCUGGGAUAAGCCUGGGAAACUGGGUCUAAUACCGGAUAUGACUCCAUGACGUAUGUUGUGGGGUGGAAAGCCUUGUGCGGCUGAGGAUGGGCCCGCGGCCUAUCAGCUUGUUGGUGGGGUGAUGGCCUACCAAGGCGACGACGGGUAGCCGGCCUGAGAGGACGACCGGCCACACUGGGACUGAGACACGGCCCAGACUCCUACGGGAGGCAGCAGUGGGGAAUCUUGCGCAAUGGGCGAAAGCCUGACGCAGCGACGCCGCGUGAGGGAUGACGGCCU